CGUGAAUGAUGUUGAGGAAGUGUGCUGGCCCAUGUGAAGAGCUUGGAAGCGGGAGCGCUUCGGCCGGUCCAUGCGCGCGAAGAUUGGUGAAGGCGGGCCAUGUGCGUGAAGAUUGUGCUUUGGCGGGGCCCACGUGCGUGAAGGUUGGUGAAGGCGGGCCAUUUGCGCGUUGGUGAGGUGGAAGCAUGCCUUGGGCGGGCCCGUGUGCGUGAAUUGGGGAAGUGCAGGUCCAUGGGCUGUCCAUGUGUCUAAGUUGCUUGAUUUGGAUCCAAUUUGAUAGGCUUGCUCUCUUUUGCUCCAAAUAAGGCAGUUUUAGGGGCAUUUUCUCCAGAUUGUCCUUUUACACCAUUUUCUGCAAAAUAAUAUUAAAAGCAAUAAAUUAAGCAGAAAUCAUGUAAAUAUUUAUCAAUAAUAUUAAUAUAAAAUGGACUAAUUUAUGCUCUAUCAAAUACCCCCACACUUAGCCUUUUGCUUGUCCUCAAGCAAAUAAACAUAGUCAAACAAGCUUUAUUUGCUCUAGAUCCUUAUUUUCACUUAAGCUCUUACUCAAGACACCUAUUUUGAAGCAUUGUAGUGAAGAAUAUAUGCGUGAAGAUUACUCACCUUCCUUCCUUGUUUCUCUUUACUCACCAUGGCUAGGAUUUGUUUUGCUCAAGAGAGACCAUACAUGCACAUUUUUGUUAAGACUUUUUCUAGCUUUCAGAGUGACUUACCCUUACCUUGAAGUACUUUAUUCAGGCUUUUGCACUUAGAUUUUGCUUGAAAAAGUCACCAACCUUUUGAUGUGAAGGUACAUAUUUGUGAUACCCACCCCCAGUUACUCAGUUGGUCAUCUUUUCAAGUGGCUACUAGCUCUGUUCUUAGCCUUUUGACCAUUGGAACAAUUCUUUUACUUUGUGAUUUUGAGGUCUUUGCCUUUGCUGAAUUUUGUUUCUCUCAAUGAUUUGGGCAAAUCAACACCAAUUGCUAAAUCAAGUCACAUUAAGUUCAUUCACACAACUUUUAAUUUAUUCUCAUCAAUUGAGGGUCAUCAAUAUAUUUUUCACUAUUGGCAAGCUCAAAGAUUCAAUUCAAAAGGAAAUUCUCAAACAUGAAUAUAACUCACUGCAAUUGAUUCAACAUAAGUUUAAAGAGUUAUCUCAUCAAUGGGGUCAUGGAAAGAAAAGCUCAUCCAACAUAGUUCAUCAGUUUGAGUAGAGCAAAACAAAAAGAAGAAGGUUAUGGUUGUGCGUGUUUUAUUGAAAGCAAAAAUAAAAAAUUUUCAGACUGUGGCUAAUUAAACUGAAAGAAACGCAAAAUGCAAAAAACUGAAAGGGAAAUUUCUCAAAUCUGAAAGAGAAGGGAGGAGAAGAGGAAAAGAAGAGGAGAAGGAGAGAAGAAGAGAGAUAUGCACCCCCACACUUAAAUCAUGCAUUGUCCUCAAUGUAAAAGAAAAGAAAAGAACAAAGGAAUCUGAAUACUCCCCUGGGGUGUGGUGCACAUGGUGUGAUCCUCUUAGGCAGAAUGAGUGACGAACAAAUGUUCGUCUGGGAAGGCUUCCUCAACUGGACAAGGCGCAGAACUGGAUGGAAGCCGACUAAGGUGAUCAGCCACAAGAUUUUCCUUACCUUUUUUGUCUCUUAUCUCUAGAUCAAAUUCUUGUAGGAGAAGAAUCCACCGAAUUAGUCUCAGUUUUGCUUCCUUUUUCUUGAUCAGAUAUCGCAGAGCUGCAUGGUCAGAAUAGACAAUGACUUUGGUGCCCAAGAGGUAAGGUCUGAAUUUUUCUAAAGCGAAUACAACUACCAAGAGCUCUUUUUCAGUUGUUGUGUAGUUGCUUUGUGCAGCAUCUAGUGUGCGAGAGGCAUAGUGAAUGGCGUGGGGUGAGUUUCCCACACGUUGUCCCAAGACUGCUCCUACUGCAUAAUUGCUUGCAUCACACAUGAUUUCAAAGGGCAAGCUCCAGUCAGGUCCCUGAAUGAUUGGGGUAGUCACAAGCAAUUCUUUAAUCAAAUCAAAUGCCUUUUUACAAUCUGCAUCAAAAUCAAAUGUUACAUCCUGUUGGAGCAAUCUGCAUAAUGGCAAAGUAAUUUUUGAGAAAUCUUUGAUGAAUCUUCUAUAGAAUCCUGCAUGGCCAAGGAAUGACCGAAUUUCUCUAACAUUAGUGGGGUAAGGCAGAUUUUUAAUGGUAUCCACCUUAGCCUUGUCCACUUCAAUGCCCUUAGCUGAAACAACAUGUCCUAAGACCAUACCUUGAUUAACCAUAAAAGGACAUUUUUCAUAAUUAAGCACAAGGUUAGUCUCAAUGCAUCUUUGUAAGAUCUUUUCCAAGUUGGCAAGGCAUUCCUCAAAAGAGUUACCAUGCACUGUGAAAUCAUCCAUGAACACUUCAAUUGUCUUACCCACAUAAUCAGAAAAUAUACUCAUCAUGCGUCGCUGAAAGGUGGCAGGUGCAUUGCAUAGUCCAAAUGGCAUUCUCCUAAAGGCAAAAGUGCCAAAAGGACAAGUGAAGGUGGUCUUCUCUUGGUCCUCAGGAGCAACUGGAAUCUGAUAAAAACCUGAAUAACCAUCAAGACAACAGUAAUGGGACUUACCUACAAGUCUUUCUAGCAUUUGAUCAAUGAAGGGAAGAGGGAAGUGGUCUUUCCUUGUUACAACAUUGAGCUUCCUAUAGUCCAUGCAUACCCUCCAUCCAUUUUGAACUCUCGUGGGAACAAGUUCCCCUUCAGCAUUUGGGACAAUGGCAAUUCCAGUUUUCUUUGGAACUACAUGCACCGGACUCACCCAUUUGCUAUCAGAGAUAGGGUAGAUAAUACCUGCAUCAAGGAGCUUGACUAUUUCUUUCUUCACUACUUCCAUCAUAGGUGGAUUCAGUCUUCUUUGAGCAUCUCUGACUGGCUUGCAUUCAUCCUCCAUGUGUAUUCUAUGCAUGCAUGUGGAAGGAGAAAUACCUUUUAUGUCAUCUAUUGUAAUACCCGGCUAGAUUCCGGCAUCGGAAUCUCUACCUUCCGGCGGAAUCUCCGUUGGAAUCUGGAGUUUCGGGGAUGCCAGAGGCUUUUAGAGGGGUAAAAUGUGUUUUCUCAAAUGUCUUUACUGAUUUUUGGGUUUAAAUGGAAAAGAAUUGAGUUUUGAAAAGGAAGAGACCAAGGAGACAUUUGCCAGGUUCGGCCGCCGAAAGUGAAGUUCGGCCGCCGAACAUGGAAAGGCUUCGGGAGCGCCUUUGGCCUCCGAAAGUCUUGUUUGNNNNNNNNNNNNNNNNNNNNNNNNNNNNNNNNNNNNNNNNNNNNNNNNNNNNNNNNNNNNNNNNNNNNNNNNNNNNNNNNNNNNNNNNNNNNNNNNNNNNNNNNNNNNNNNNNNNNNNNNNNNNNNNNNNNNNNNNNNNNNNNNNNNNNNNNNNNNNNNNNNNNNNNNNNNNNNNNNNNNNNNNNNNNNNNNNNNNNNNNNNNNNNNNNNNNNNNNNNNNNNNNNNNNNNNNNNNNNNNNNNNNNNNNNNNNNNNNNNNNNNNNNNNNNNNNNNNNNNNNNNNNNNNNNNNNNNNNNNNNNNNNNNNNNNNNNNNNNNNNNNNNNNNNNNNNNNNNNNNNNNNNNNNNNNNNNNNNNNNNNNNACAACCCUCGAUCUUCAAGAGGUAAGUGUAGAUCCUUGCUUCCCUAGUGUUUUUAUGAAGUUUUAUGAAGGUUUUGAUGGUUGAGUAUGGGUAGAUAUGCAUGUUAGGAUUUAUGUGGGUUUUAUGCCCAAUGUAUGAUUAUAUGUGUUUAUGUGAUGAUAUGUUGUUAGUUUAUGCUCCUUUAUGCAUGUGGGAGUGAGUAUGCAUGAUUGGGAAAGAGUAUGUGAGGAUUUGGGUUGUUUUGAUGGUUUUGGUCUAUGUGGGUCAUAAGCUAUCUAUGUAUGUUUUGUUGUUGUUUUUGGAGUUUAAUCAAGCUAUUAAGCUCCUUUGUGCAUGGCUAAGGGUUUAUGCAUGUUUUGGUAAGGUUGGGUGCUUGUUUUGGGGUGUUUGGAAGGUUUGGGAGGCUCAAAUGCAUGAGAAGCUGAGUUUUGCCCUUCUGGGAAGAACUCAGGUUCGGCCGCCGAAAGUGGCUUCGGCCGCCAAACCUGCCUUUGGAUGCAUGGAUUGGCUGCCUAACCUUGCCCCCGAAAGUUGAGCUUUGGCUUGAAAGCAGACUUUCGGCCGCCGAAGGAAGGAUUCGGUCGCCGAAAGUGCCUGACUUUCGUCUCUGGAGUGGGACUUUCGACCGCCGAAGGUGCCGCCGAAAGUGCCCGAGUUUCGUCUCUGGAGGGAGGGUUCGGCCGCCGAAGGCGCCGCCGAAAGUGCCCUGUCCAGCCUUUUCAAGGUUGUUUUCUAUGCAUGUUUAAGUGAUGUUUUAGGGGGUUUUUGGAGGUAUGUUUAUGAGUUGUUUAGAGUGUGUUGGCACCUCAUUCGAGUCCACCUGUGUAGGAUCGGACCCGAGGGACCGAGGAGGCCAGUAGUGCUAGCAGUUGCAGAGUCAGUCAGCAUCUGCCAGGAGGUGAGUAGAACUAAACUUAAUUUUUAUUUUAUGAAAUCAAAUGCCUAGAGCAUGUUCAUACAUCAUGUUUAUAUGUAAUAGGUUGAUUGCACUAGUUACACGAAUAUGAAGCAUUGCAUUAUUUACUGUUAAUGGAGAUUGGACCAAGGACGACCCCACUAGCCCUAUGGAUAAGACCUGGCUGGGCCAGGCAUUACGAAGUCCUGUGGUGCCCUCUAUGGUGGCCGGGCAAAUAGCUUAGGGAUGUUUCGGGGUUGGGUCCAAUCCGUGAUAUGACUUGUUUGUGCUGUGACGCAUUUCAUAAAUGCAUGUAAUUAAUGAAUUGUUUUCCUUGUUUCUACUCACUGGGCUUUUUAGCUCACCCCUCUCCCCUAACCCCAGUUUUGCAGGACCAGAGCUAAGUUAAGCCAGAGUAAGUCAGAGUAAGCUAUGGGGAAGGAAGAGUGAUGCAUGGUUUGCUGUGUUUUGAUGUAAUAGUAUAGCUUAGUGUAUGUAUAUGGUAAGUAGCUGGAUAUAAAGAGAUGUAUGCCUGUAUGCUUGUUUACUUGAAUAGUAUAGUGGUGGACAUGAUGUAUAUAAAGGAUAUGAUAUGAUGAUGUAUGUAAAGUUAUGUUUAUGGAUUAGUACUGUGCUUGACCCUGAGACUCGGUUAGUCCCUGUUUAAUACAUGAUGUAUGUAAUGUUUUAGGAUGUUGAGUUGUGUUUGAACUAAUCUUGUGGCAUGUGUUGUUUACCACGCUAUGGUAAUUGAUGAGGGCCCUGCAGGAGGUCUUAUGUUUGUGGUUUGAUGCAUGCACAGGUUAGGUUCUAGUUCCUUGGAUAUAAUCCCAGCUUGAUGUAUGUUAUGUUGACCCAGCUAGAGUUUUGAUGAGGGCUCUAGUAGGGGAUCCUUUUAUGUUUUCAGCUAUGUUGCAUACAGGUCAAGCUCGGUCUAUACAUCUUAUGUUUCAGUUUUUAUGUUAAAGUUUUCAUCAUGUAGGGGAUUUGACCAGGUGAUAGGAGGUAUGUUUGGCUUGCUACGGGUCCCGGCGGCCUUAAGCCGAUCUGGAUCCUAGCGCCGGUGGCGAUACGGGCCGUUACGGUAGGGUAUCGGUUUCCGGGCUGUUACAUCUAUGGUCCAUCCUAUGGCUUCUUUGUGUUUCUGGAGUACUUUCAGGAGGCUUGCUUCUUCAUGUAGGUUCAAUUCAUUGGACACUAUUACUGGUAUGUCUUAUCAGUUCCCAAGUACAUGUAUUUCAGAUGUCCUGGAAGAGGCUUCAGAUUUGAAGAGUGUUGCAAAGGUGUUUGCGCAGAGGUGGUUUCAGAAAUCUCCUUUUGUGCAAGGUUUGACUGCAAAGGAGAACUAGAAGAGCUUGCUUGCAUUGGAGACUGCAAGGGUGCGCAUGAAGGUGUCUCAGUUUGCGCAAUGCCCUUCUGCGCAUUCUUCUGAAGAGGUGCUUCAGAGGUUCCUUCAUUCCGUGCUUGACUGCAAACUAUCUGUUGGAUGCUACAGACUGUUUCCUUAAGUUUUGGCUCUUUCUGUACCUGAUCAGUAUCUCUGCAGAAAUCACUAUUAAGAAUAUCAUCUUGAUUUUCAUAAAAAAUUUCCUGGCUCAAGCAGUCAACAAUAUCAAGACCAUAAACAGGGGACAUAUCGUGUGGAUAUUUCAUAGAAUCAUAGACAUUAUAUUUAAUAACUUCCCCUUCAAAUUCCAUGGUCAAAGUACCAUCAUGCACAUCAAUUUUAGUCCUAGCAGUACUCAAGAAGGGACGUCCAAGAAGUAUAUCAGAACUAGUAUUGCAACUAUCUUCCUUUGUAUCAAUCACAUAAAAAUCAGCAGGAAAGACUAGUUCAUCUACUUGUACUAACACAUCUUCUAGAACUCCUAUGGGAUAUACCACGGAUCUAUCAGCUAGUUGUAUCACUACUCUUGUGUCUUUCAGUGCACAUGCAUUCAGAGAUUUAUAGAUGGAGAGAGGCAUGACAUUUAUGGAUGCACCAAGAUCACACAUAGCUUUCUUUAUACCAACAUUUCCAAUUUUGCAAGAGAUAGCAAACAUACCUUUAUCCUUGCAUUUAGUAGGGAGUUCUCUUUUGAUAACAGCAGUAACUACUUCACCUACACUUACUUUUUCUCUUUAAGCAAGCUUUCUUCUAUUGGUGCAAAGCUCUUUCAGAAAUUUUGCGUACCUUGAAAUUUGCUUGAUAGCAUCUAGCAGUGGUAUGUUGAUCUCUACUUUUCUGAAAGUCUCAAGGAUCUCCUUUUCUUCUUUUUCUUUUUGCGUUCUUUUAAAUAUUUUUGGAAAAGGAGGUGGAAUGUGAAAACUUACUUUUGGAUUAGUCUUGUGCGCAGGAGGUGGUUCGGAUUGCAUGGGAUCUUGCGCAACUCGUGUAGGCUUUAGUGGAGGUUGUUUUUCUUCCUCAUAUCUUGCAUCUUGAAGCUUUUUUCCACUUUCAAAGUAAUAGCACUAACAUUCUGUCUGGGAUUAGUUUCAGUUUGAGAAGGGAGCUUACCUUGGGAUUCAGAUCUGCCGAUGGAUGCAGCCAGUUGGCCUAUCUCUUGUGGCAUGCCUUGCAUGGUGUUUACCAUUGUUUCCAUCAUUGUUUGCAUAAUCUUUUCAAGGUGCUGAUUUGGAUUUGGAGGUGUUGGUUAGGCUUGGUUUUUUUGGUAAUUUUGGUAAUUCUGAUCAUUGUUGGCCUUUCCAUAGCUGAAGUUGGGAUGGUCUCUCCAACCUGGAUUGUAUGUAUUGGAAUAUGGAUCAUGUCUAGGCUGGUUGUUGUACCUCCCAAUUGCAUUGACUUGAUGAUUGUCUUCUUGGAGGGUAGGACAUUGAUCAAUUGGAUGUCCCACAUAUGAACAGAUACCACAUGGCCUAGAAGGCUGGGGUGCUUGAAUCUGUUGCACUACUUCUAUGGCAAUAUUUUUCAUAACAGAUGUUAGUUUGGAAAUAGUAGGAAAACUUACCUCAUUGGCUCUUUGUAGUUGUUUCUCCUCUCCAUAUUGCCUAGAUGAGGCUGCAAGAGUGGAGAUUAACUCUCUCAUCUCCCUAGGUGUCUUGUCUAUAAUGGAUCCUCCACAAGCUACAUUUAUGAAUUUUCUUUCUGAUGGGAGCAAUCCUUCAUGGAAGAAUUGUAUGAGGGCUUUGUCUGACAUAUCAUGUUGUGGACAAUCUGUACAUAGUCUUUCAAACCUUUCCCAAUAAUCAUAUAAGUCCUCAGUUUGUUUCUGUCUUAUGCUAGUGAUUUCUCUUAUUAUGCCAAUUGAUUUAGAUGGUGGGAAGUAUUUGUCCAAAAAAAUUUGGACCAUAUCAUCCUAAGAAGUGAUAGAUCCAGGUGGCAAAUAAAAUAACCAAUCCUUAGCAUAGUCAUCUAAUGAAAAGGGAAAAACUCUUAACUUAACAUGAUCUUCAGAUAUACCUUGAGGUCUCAUGGAUGAACAAACAAUAGUGAAUUCUUUCAAGUGCUUGUGUGGAUUUUCAUUUUCUCUACCUCUAAAUUUAGGAAGAAGAUGUAUCAAACCUGUCUUUAGUUCAAAGGGAACUGUAAGAGGCGGAUAGGUGAUGCAAAGUGGUGCAUGAUCACCUACAGGAGUUGCCAAUUCUCUCAUGGUUCUUUCUCUUUGUACUGGGGGCCUAAUUGCUGGAUUUUCUUGAAUGAUUUGGUUCUGGACUGCAUGUCUAUUAUUGGCAGCAACUUGUGGAUUAGGUUCAGCCAUUGGUGCGGCUUGUGGUGCGAUUGGAGCUUCUUUCGGAUGAACUGCUUGCUUUCCUAGUCUUCUGAAAGUGCGUUCUAUUUUCGGAUCGUAAGGCAGAGUAUCCCUACAUUCAGAUCUGGUCAUGAAAGAAAAAUAAAUAAGUUAAAUCAAUUCCCCGGCAAUGGCGUCAAUUUUUGACUCACGGUUGUCGAAGCCGGUCAAAAAUAACCUUUCUGGUUAUCAACAAUUUACAACUGCAGAUAGUGGUGAAAGGAUCGAAUCCACAGGGAAUUGAAUACUCACCUAUUUCUCUUUUAUGACCAGGAAAAUAAACUAAAAUGAUAAUAAACUAAAAAUGAGAUAAACUGAAAAAUGGGAUCAAAACUGUCAACAAAAUAACAGGGGGGUUUGAGAUUGAUUGUAGUAAACUAAUAAUGAGAAUAAUAAAUGAAAGCAAAUAAUUAAAUAAAAAUUAAUCAAUAAUGAGAAAGCUCUAGUUGAAGUAUUGGAUCCACUUUAGUUGUUGGGAUUGAUCACAGACACUUUGUUCUUUUGGGUUGAUUUAAUAGAUUAGUUAUGGAGAUGGAAGACGCUUCUCACCACCAUUAUCUCUCCUUAUUAUUAAAUUAAUUAGGGAACGUCCUCUAAUCAAUUACUAAUUAACAAAUUGCCAAGGAACGUCCUUGGGCCAUAGGCAUCAAAACAAUUGUCAAUUGCAUUAAGAAAUAGAGAGAUCCAAUCCUAGUUACCCAAACAUAUGGAGACAACGCUAGAUCAUGCAACUUCCUUGGUUUUUAUGCCAAGUGUUCUUAUGUAAGAAUAACCUAAGCAAUUACGGACUUAAAUCAUUCAAACUAACAAAUAAUUAUUUUGCAAUUAAAAAUCAACGUAGAUCUCAAUAAUAAAAUAAUAUAAAAAUUAAGUAUGAAAUUGCAUGAAUAUUAAAUACCCAAAAGUUAAACAAUAUUUGAUCAAGUCUCACAACCCAUUAAACAACUAAAGCUUCAGUCAAUUAUCCAACUAGAUUAAAGAAAUCAGCCACUCAUGGCUGAAUUAAAAACAAAAAAUAAAAGGAAAAAUAAAAGAGGAAGAAGGAACCAAAGGAUGGAGGCAGAGAGCUCCUUACGCCGGGCUGUGGAAAUUGCCGAAU
RNAcentral lists this long non-coding RNA (9304 nucleotides) under Manihot esculenta (cassava). Its description in RNAcentral is "long non-coding RNA (MESC_LNC006639)". Lineage: Eukaryota; Viridiplantae; Streptophyta; Magnoliopsida; Malpighiales; Euphorbiaceae. The record is from RNAcentral.